UUGCUCCAAGGAACAGCUUAAGCCAGAG
Molecule: non-coding RNA, 28 nt
Filed under: Homo sapiens (human)
Lineage: Eukaryota; Metazoa; Chordata; Mammalia; Primates; Hominidae
Source: RNAcentral